GGCCUAACACAUGCAAGUCGAACGGUAACAUUUCUAGCUUGCUAGAAGAUGACGAGUGGCGGACGGGUGAGUAAUGCUUGGGAACUUGCCUUUGCGAGGGGGAUAACAGUUGGAAACGACUGCUAAUACCGCAUAAUGUCUUCGGACCAAACGGGGCUUCGGCUCCGGCGCAAAGAGAGGCCCAAGUGAGAUUAGCUAGUUGGUAAGGUAACGGCUUACCAAGGCGACGAUCUCUAGCUGUUCUGAGAGGAAGAUCAGCCACACUGGGACUGAGACACGGCCCAGACUCCUACGGGAGGCAGCAGUGGGGAAUAUUGCACAAUGGGGGAAACCCUGAUGCAGCCAUGCCGCGUGUGUGAAGAAGGCCUUCGGGUUGUAAAGCACUUUCAGUUGUGAGGAAAAGUUAGUAGUUAAUACCUGCUAGCCGUGACGUUAACAACAGAAGAAGCACCGGCUAACUCCGUGCCAGCAGCCGCGGUAAUACGGAGGGUGCGAGCGUUAAUCGGAAUUACUGGGCGUAAAGCGCACGCAGGCGGUUUGUUAAGCUAGAUGUGAAAGCCCCGGGCUCAACCUGGGAUGGUCAUUUAGAACUGGCAGACUAGAGUCUUGGAGAGGGGAGUGGAAUUCCAGGUGUAGCGGUGAAAUGCGUAGAUAUCUGGAGGAACAUCAGUGGCGAAGGCGACUCCCUGGCCAAAGACUGACGCUCAUGUGCGAAAGUGUGGGUAGCGAACAGGAUUAGAUACCCUGGUAGUCCACACCGUAAACGCUGUCUACUAGCUGUGUGUGUCUUUAAGACGUGCGUAGCGAAGCUAACGCGCUAAGUAGACCGCCUGGGGAGUACGGCCGCAAGGUUAAAACUCAAAUGAAUUGACGGGGGCCCGCACAAGCGGUGGAGCAUGUGGUUUAAUUCGAUGCAACGCGAAGAACCUUACCUAC
Molecule: ribosomal RNA, 936 nt
Filed under: Alteromonas macleodii
Lineage: Bacteria; Pseudomonadati; Pseudomonadota; Gammaproteobacteria; Alteromonadales; Alteromonadaceae
Description: bacterial SSU rRNA
Rfam family: Bacterial small subunit ribosomal RNA
Source: RNAcentral